GAAGUUUUAGAGUAAUGAUUAACACUUAACAAACUAACUUGUCCUGUAAAUUAGCUGUGAGUUACAGAUUUAUUAUACAAAUUAGUAGCUAGGCAUUGAUCUUAGUUGUUUUGUGUAUAUUAUUAUAAUCUGUGCCUUGUUUCUUCUGCUCUCUCUAGAAAAUUUUGUUAACACUAUAUUAAUGGUUUAGUUUGAUAUUUCAGGGCUCUAUAAAUAUCUUGAUGGCUACUCUGGUAAAGAGACAGACAAAAUCAAUAAGAUUCUCGUUAAGACUGUACUGUGUGUUGACGACAAAAUUGCUGAAAUCUUGGCGGCGGGGUGGUACUGCCCUCCGCGUCCCAAUGUUUUUGAUGAUCUUCCGAGGUUAAAUUGAUGGUAAACUUCCAAGUCCUAAUCUUAUUGUAAUUAAUGCUUGUUUUGAUUGAACUUUUGACAUGAACUGCUUGUAAAUGAACUUGUAAGGUUUGAUGUGUUUCAACUGCUACAGCUUCAGUAGCUUCCUCAUAUUGUUACCAUCUUGUUAUGUUCAAGCUGUAUUAUGAUGUUCACUACUUUCUCAUGUUUAAGUCUCUGUUCGGAGUGAAAUAUGCUACAUUGGCUUUUAUUUCUAGAAUCUUCUCAUGUUUGCUCUUCAUUUUUAUCUUGUCUCCUUUACUCUUCAUUUCAAAAUACUGCGACUCGCAUUGUCUAAUUUUUUUGCUCUUCAAUUCUCUGUAUGGACUGAAAUAUGUUAGUCCCUCUGUCCGGAAAUACUUCUUGGAGAAAUGGAUGUAUCUAGAUGUAUUAUAGUUAUAGAUACAUCCAUUUUUAUCCAUUUCUUCUGGACCGAGGGAGUACAUGGGAACCUUUUUUCUGGAAUCUUCUCAUGUUUGCUCUUUGUUAUUAUCUCUUCUUUACUCUUCAUUUCAAAACUACUGUCUAAUAUCUGUUUCUUUGUCUGUAGGUUCUCUUCUUGAAUGCUGUUAAAGAAUGAUAAUCCAAAGUAUUUCUAGUUACCAUCUUUGUUACUGGUAAUCUUUUCACAUAAACUUAUUUUCUAGAAUCUUCUUGUGCUUUCUCUUUGCUCCUUUACUCUUCAUUUUAAAACUACUAUCUAAUAUCUGUUUCUUUGUCUGUAGGUCCUCUUCCUCGAAUGCUGUUAAAGAAUGAUAAUCCAAAGUCUUUCUAGUUGCUAUCUUUGUUGCUGGUAAUCUUUUCACAUAAACUUAUUUUCUAGAAUCUUCUUAUGUUUUCUCUUUGCUCCUUUACUCUUCAUUUCAAAACUACUGUCUAAUAUCUGUUUCUUUGUCUGUAGGUCCUCUUCCUCGAAUGCUGUUAAAGAAUGAUAAUCCAAAGUAUUUCUAGUUAGUAUCUUUGUUACUGGUAAUCUUUUCACAUUAACUGCUUUUGGUACCAUUUGAAUUAUGAUGUUAAUGAUGACCCUCAUUGUCUAAAUUUUCCAUCCUGCACCUCUUCAUUGAUCUCCAAUUCUUUGUAUGGAGUGAAAUAUAUUACUCCCUACUCCCGGAAAUAAUUAUUGGAGAAGUUGAUGUAUCUAGAUGAAUUUUAGUUCUAGAUUCAUCCAUUUUUAUACAUUUCUCUGACAAGUAUUUCUGGACUAAGGGAGUACAUGGAAACUUAUUUUCUAGAUCUUCUCAUGUUUGCUCUUGGUUAUUAUCUUGUCUCCUUUACUCUUCAUUUCAAAAUUAUUGUCUAAUAUCUGGUUCUUUGUGUGUAGACGCUGCUACUACAGAAUAUUGCUCAGAAGUCUUGCUGGUAAACUUUUGACAUCAACUGCUUUUGACUGUUUGAACUAAUACAACUCUUUUUCCUCUUUCUGUCACCUGGCUUUUGUGUUUCACUAUAGUGUGAUGCAUAUUGUUUAGUAACGGUUCAGGCUGAAUUAGAAUGUUAACGGUGAAAUAUGUCGUUCUCAUUGUAUUUUUUCUCAUGUUUAACUCUUCAUUACUGUUCAAUUCUCUGUUGUGAGAGGAAUCUGUUACAUUGCCUUCUGUUUUCAAGAAUUUUCUCAUGUUUACUCCUCAUUAUCAUCUAUCAUUUCUCUUAAUUGUAAAAUUACAUUCUACAUUUGUUUUUUGUGCAGAUGCUGCUUGUAUGGAAUGCCACCGUGUAGAUGCUGCUCGUAUGGAAUGCCACCGUGUAGAAGCUGCUCGUAUGGAAUGCCGCUGUGUAGAUGCUGGUCGUAUGGAAUGCCGCCGUGUAGAUGCUGCUGCAGAAUCAUACUUGUGAAAUCGUUGUGAAUAUUAUGAUGUUACUGGACAAAUAUUGUUUAGGUUCUUACUGCUACCGCUUGAACAGCUUAUUGUCAGCUUGAGCACAUUGCUGUAUUACAUUGUUUUCGGUGAAACAUGUGGGGUGGUAUGCUACCUCGUCAUUAGUUUUAUUGAUAUGCCACUUGCAUUUUGUAGUUCAAUAACAGCAAUGGAAAUUUCAUGAAAUCUACUUUUGUGACGUCCAACUUAGUGUUGGAAAUUGUCACAGCCGUCCCAAG
RNAcentral lists this long non-coding RNA (2491 nucleotides) under Triticum aestivum (bread wheat). Its description in RNAcentral is "long non-coding RNA (TAES_LNC014411)". The stretch from base 1488 to 1612 matches the Rfam family "MIR1120/MIR1122 microRNA precursor family". Lineage: Eukaryota; Viridiplantae; Streptophyta; Magnoliopsida; Poales; Poaceae. The record is from RNAcentral.